AAGGCUUUCGGGUCGUAAAGCUCUGUCGAGGGGAAAGAAGUGUAUUGUGGUUAAUACCCGCGAUACUUGACGGUACCCCUAAAGGAAGCACCGGCUAACUCCGUGC
Molecule: ribosomal RNA, 106 nt
Filed under: uncultured bacterium
Lineage: Bacteria
Description: partial 16S ribosomal RNA
Rfam family: Bacterial small subunit ribosomal RNA
Source: RNAcentral